This 26-nucleotide small RNA is filed under the name Bombyx mori (domestic silkworm). Its description in RNAcentral is "ovarian small RNA-36233". The record is from RNAcentral. Lineage: Eukaryota; Metazoa; Arthropoda; Insecta; Lepidoptera; Bombycidae.
UGUUUAUUGUGCUACGACUCGAUACA